Molecule: ribosomal RNA, 258 nt
Filed under: uncultured bacterium
Lineage: Bacteria
Description: partial 16S ribosomal RNA
Rfam family: Bacterial small subunit ribosomal RNA
Source: RNAcentral
CGGCGGCACGGGUGAGUAACACGUAUCCAACCUGCCGAUGACUCGGGGAUAGCCUUUCGAAAGAAAGAUUAAUACCCGAUGGCAUAGUUCUUCCGCAUGGUAGAACUAUUAAAGAAUUUCGGUCAUCGAUGGGGAUGCGUUCCAUUAGCUUGUUGGCGGGGUAACGGCCCACCAAGGCAUCGAUGGAUAGGGGUUCUGAGAGGAAGGUCCCCCACAUUGGAACUGAGACACGGUCCAAACUCCUACGGAAGGCAGCAG